GAUGAACGCUGGCGGCGUGCCUAAUACAUGCAAGUCGAACGAACAGACGAUGCGCUUGCUCCUCUCACGUUAGCCGCUGACGUGUGAGUAACACAUUGAUACCCUACCUAUAAGACUGGGAUAACGUCGGGAAACCGGAGCUAGUACCGUAUAAUAUCUUGAACUUCAUUGUUCAAUAGUGAAAGACGGUUUUGCGGUCACUUAUAGAUACAUCCGCGCCCCAUUAGGUAGUUGGUAAGGUAACGGCUAACCAAGGCAACGUUCCGUAGCCGACCUGAGAGGGUGAUCGGCCACACUGGACCUGAGACACGGUCCAGACUCCUACGGGAGGCAGCAGUAGGGAAUCUUCCGCAAUGGGCGAAGGCCUGACGGAGCAACGCGGCGUGAGUGAUGAAGGUCUUCGGAUCGUAAACCUCUGUGAUUAGGGAAGAACAAAUGUGUAAGGAACUAUGCACGCCUUGACGGUACCUAAUCAGAAAGCCACGGCUAACUACGUG
This 497-nucleotide ribosomal RNA is filed under the name uncultured bacterium. Its description in RNAcentral is "partial 16S ribosomal RNA". It matches the Rfam family "Bacterial small subunit ribosomal RNA", at positions 28 to 507 of the family's 1533-position model. The record is from RNAcentral.